GACGAACGCUGGCGGCGUGCUUAACACAUGCAAGUCGAACGGAAAGGCCCUGCUUUUGUGGGGUGCUCGAGUGGCGAACGGGUGAGUAACACGUGAGUAACCUGCCCUUGACUUUGGGAUAACUUCAGGAAACUGGGGCUAAUACCGGAUAGGAGCUCCUGCUGCAUGGUGGGGGUUGGAAAGUUUCGGCGGUUGGGGAUGGACUCGCGGCUUAUCAGCUUGUUGGUGGGGUAGUGGCUUACCAAGGCUUUGACGGGUAGCCGGCCUGAGAGGGUGACCGGCCACAUUGGGACUGAGAUACGGCCCAGACUCCUACGGGAGGCAGCAGUGGGGAAUAUUGCACAAUGGGCGGAAGCCUGAUGCAGCAACGCCGCGUGCGGGAGGACGGCCUUCGGGGUGUAAACCGCUUUCGCCUGUGACGAAGCGUGAGUGACGGUAAUGGGUAAAGAAGCACCGGCUAACUACGUG
RNAcentral lists this ribosomal RNA (468 nucleotides) under uncultured bacterium. RNAcentral's name for it is "partial 16S ribosomal RNA". It matches the Rfam family "Bacterial small subunit ribosomal RNA", at positions 28 to 507 of the family's 1533-position model. The record is from RNAcentral.